UACGAAGGGUGCAAGCGUUAAUCGGAAUUACUGGGCGUAAAGCGUGCGUAGGUGGUCUUUUAAGUCCGUUGUGAAAGCCCUGGGCUCAACCUGGGAAUGGCAGUGGAUACUGGAAGGCUGGAGUGCGGUAGAGGAGGGUGGAAUUCCCGGUGUAGCGGUGAAAUGCGUAGAGAUCGGGAGGAACAUCAGUGGCGAAGGCGGCCCUCUGGACCAGCACUGACGCUGAGGCACGAAAGCAUGGGGAGCAAACAGG
RNAcentral lists this ribosomal RNA (253 nucleotides) under uncultured bacterium. RNAcentral's name for it is "partial 16S ribosomal RNA". It matches the Rfam family "Bacterial small subunit ribosomal RNA", at positions 524 to 776 of the family's 1533-position model. The record is from RNAcentral.